Molecule: ribosomal RNA, 1339 nt
Filed under: uncultured bacterium
Lineage: Bacteria
Description: bacterial SSU rRNA
Rfam family: Bacterial small subunit ribosomal RNA
Source: RNAcentral
GACGAACGCUGGCGGCGUGCUUAACACAUGCAAGUCGAACGGUGAACUCCGCUUGCGGGGGGAUCAGUGGCGAACGGGUGAGUAACACGUGGGCAACCUGCCCUCAGCUCUGGGAUAACUCCAAGAAAUUGGGGCUAAUACUGGAUAUGACUGCUGACCGCAUGGUCUGGUGGUGGAAAGAUUUAUCGGCUGGGGAUGGGCCCGCGGCCUAUCAGCUUGUUGGUGGGGUAGUGGCCUACCAAGGCGACGACGGGGAGCCGGCCUGAGAGGGUGACCGGCCACACUGGGACUGAGACACGGCCCAGACUCCUACGGGAGGCAGCAGUGGGGAAUAUUGCGCAAUGGGCGGAAGCCUGACGCAGCGACGCCGCGUGGGGGAUGACGGCCUUCGGGUUGUAAACCUCUUUCACCCAUGACGAAGCGUAAGUGACGGUAGUGGGAGAAGAAGCACCGGCCAACUACGUGCCAGCAGCCGCGGUAAUACGUAGGGUGCAAGCGUUGUCCGGAAUUAUUGGGCGUAAAGAGCUCGUAGGCGGUUUGUUGCGUCGGCUGUGAAAACCUGAGGCUCAACCUCAGGCCUGCAGUCGAUACGAGCAGACUAGAGUGUUGCAGGGGAGACUGGAAUUCCUGGUGUAGCGGUGAAAUGCGCAGAUAUCAGGAGGAACACCGGUGGCGAAGGCGGGUCUCUGGGCAGCAACUGACGCUGAGGAGCGAAAGCGUGGGGAGCGAACAGGAUUAGAUACCCUGGUAGUCCACGCCGUAAACGUUGGGCGCUAGGUGUGGGGCUCAUUCCACGAGUUCCGUGCCGCAGCUAACGCAUUAAGCGCCCCGCCUGGGGAGUACGGCCGCAAGGCUAAAACUCAAAGGAAUUGACGGGGGCCCGCACAAGCGGCGGAGCAUGUUGCUUAAUUCGAUGCAACGCGAAGAACCUUACCUAGGCUUGACAUGCACGGAAAUCCUCCAGAGAUGGUGGGUCCGCAAGGGUCGUGCACAGGUGGUGCAUGGUUGUCGUCAGCUCGUGUCGUGAGAUGUUGGGUUAAGUCCCGCAACGAGCGCAACCCUCGUUCUAUGUUGCCAGCACGUGAUGGUGGGGACUCAUAGGAGACUGCCGGGGUCAACUCGGAGGAAGGUGGGGAUGACGUCAAAUCAUCAUGCCCCUUAUGUCUAGGGCUGCAAACAUGCUACAAUGGCCGGUACAAAGGGCUGCGAUACCGUGAGGUGGAGCGAAUCCCAAAAAGCCGGUCUCAGUUCGGAUUGGGGUCUGCAACUCGACCCCAUGAAGUUGGAGUCGCUAGUAAUCGCAGAUCAGCAACGCUGCGGUGAAUACGUUCCCGGGCCU